This 325-nucleotide ribosomal RNA is filed under the name uncultured eukaryote. RNAcentral describes it as "partial 18S ribosomal RNA". It matches the Rfam family "Eukaryotic small subunit ribosomal RNA", at positions 1470 to 1796 of the family's 1831-position model. The record is from RNAcentral.
CCCUUAGAUGUUCUGGGCCGCACGCGCGCUACACUGACUGGUGUAACAAGUGUCGCUCCUUGGCCGAUAGGCCUGGGCAAUCUUUGAACGCCAGUCGUGAUGGGGAUAGAUUCUUGCAAUUUUUGAUCUUCAACGAGGAAUUCCUAGUAAACGCGAGUCAUCAACUCGCAUUGAUUACGUCCCUGCCCUUUGUACACACCGCCCGUCGCACCUACCGAUUGAAUGGUCCGGUGAACCCUCCGGAUCGGCCCGCGCCAACGCAAGUUGAGCAAAGGCCGAGAAGUUGGGUAAACCUUACCAUUUAGAGGAAGGUGAAGUCGUAACA